RNAcentral lists this ribosomal RNA (451 nucleotides) under uncultured bacterium. RNAcentral's name for it is "bacterial SSU rRNA". It matches the Rfam family "Bacterial small subunit ribosomal RNA", at positions 328 to 794 of the family's 1533-position model. The record is from RNAcentral.
UCGCCAGACUCCUACGGGAGGCAGCAGUGGGGAAUAUUGCACAAUGGGCGAAAGCCUGAUGCAGCAACGCCGCGUGAAGGAAGGAGGCCUUCGGGUCGUAAACUUCUGUCCUUGGGGAAGAAGAACUGACGGUACCCAAGGAGGAAGCCCCGGCUAACUACGUGCCAGCAGCCGCGGUAAUACGUAGGGGGCGAGCGUUAUCCGGAUUCACUGGGUGUAAAGGGAGCGUAGACGGCCGUGCAAGCCAGGAGUGAAAGCCCGGGGCCCAACCCCGGGACUGCUCUUGGAACUGUGCGGCUGGAGUGCGGGAGGGGCAGGCGGAAUUCCUGGUGUAGCGGUGAAAUGCGUAGAUAUCAGGAGGAACACCGGCGGCGAAGGCGGCCUGCUGGACCGCGACUGACGUUGAGGCUCGAAAGCGUGGGGAGCGAACAGGAUUAGAUACCCUGGUAGG